Long non-coding RNA from Alligator mississippiensis (American alligator), 591 nucleotides. RefSeq lists it as uncharacterized. The record is from RefSeq and is a predicted model, not a curated record. The transcript is spliced from 2 exons. NCBI's taxonomy places the organism in Eukaryota, Metazoa, Chordata, Crocodylia, Alligatoridae.
UGGAGUUGGUGGAGCAGACGGGAGCGGAGCGGAGGCAAAGAGAGCAAGAUCCAGGCAAGAGUGGGCAGAGAAGUCGGGAGACGGGAGGAGGUGAGCGGAGCAGAGACGGAGAUAACCCCUUGUCAAAAGAAGAGACAAUGAUUUACACUAUUGAGAAUGCUUGAAGCAGCUGAACUGAGGGUAUAAAAGUCUGUAUAAAAAAAAAAAAAAAAAAAAAAAAAAAAAAAAAAAAGGUGUGCGUGCUUCAAGAAGAAAGAAAGAAGAAAAACUCCUGCGCUGACACCAUCCUCUGUUGAUGUGUUCUUCCAGCGUCCCAAGAACAUCUCCCUUCAAGGACUGUGCCUGUCAGCUUUGCAGCCUGAGUACCUUGGACUGGUGAGAUACCAGUGCUCGCUCUCUCUCUUUUCUCUCUAGGCAUAAACUUCUGAACCUGAAGUGUCAUAGUUAAGCUUGAGCUAAGUUUCCCCAAAUACUUAGUGAAACCAGGGUAGUACUGUAAUUGUUUGUGUGUGUUUUUCUUUUGCAUAUCUAUUACUACUAGUACCAUUAUAUAUUUCAUAUGCUUAGCAAUAAAUAACUUUUAUAGUCAAA